RNAcentral lists this ribosomal RNA (301 nucleotides) under uncultured bacterium. RNAcentral's name for it is "partial 16S ribosomal RNA". It matches the Rfam family "Bacterial small subunit ribosomal RNA", at positions 509 to 807 of the family's 1533-position model. The record is from RNAcentral.
UAGUCGCCACGGUAAUACAGAGGGUGCGAGCGUUAAUCGGAUUUACUGGGCGUAAAGCGUGCGUAGGCGGCUUCUUAAGUCGGAUGUGAAAUCCCUGAGCUUAACUUAGGAAUUGCAUUCGAUACUGGGAAGCUAGAGUAUGGGAGAGGAUGGUAGAAUUCCAGGUGUAGCGGUGAAAUGCGUAGAGAUCUGGAGGAAUACCGAUGGCGAAGGCAGCCAUCUGGCCUAAUACUGACGCUGAGGUACGAAAGCAUGGGGAGCAAACAGGAUUAGAGACCCCCGUAGUCCCUGUCUCUUAUAC